RNAcentral lists this ribosomal RNA (158 nucleotides) under Dimorphiopsis brachystegiae. Its description in RNAcentral is "5.8S ribosomal RNA". It matches the Rfam family "5.8S ribosomal RNA". Rfam says of the family: 5.8S ribosomal RNA (5.8S rRNA) is a component of the large subunit of the eukaryotic ribosome. It is transcribed by RNA polymerase I as part of the 45S precursor that also contains 18S and 28S rRNA. The record is from RNAcentral. Lineage: Eukaryota; Fungi; Ascomycota; Dothideomycetes; Pleosporales; Lophiostomataceae.
CAACUUUCAACAAUGGAUCUCUUGGCUCUGGCAUCGAUGAAGAACGCAGCGAAAUGCGAUAAGUAGUGUGAAUUGCAGAAUUUAGUGAAUCAUCGAAUCUUUGAACGCACAUUGCGCCCUUUGGUAUUCCUUAGGGCAUGCCUGUUCGAGCGUCAUAA